Long non-coding RNA from Scleropages formosus (Asian bonytongue), 1232 nucleotides. The record is from Ensembl. NCBI's taxonomy places the organism in Eukaryota, Metazoa, Chordata, Actinopteri, Osteoglossiformes, Osteoglossidae.
CCGGUCCGUUUCACCGUUACCCGUGCGGGUAUCUCGAGCGAUUAUCAUUUAAUUCGGCUUCAGGUAGCUGACUGUGAGUGUGAGACAAAGAGAAGGCACCCAGAGUCGAGGGGAGAUGCUGAGACUGCGGGAGCUGAGAGAGGAGGCAGACGCGUGACCCGAGCGAGCUGCAGCGAGGGCACCUGGACACAUCUGCCAUAACGGCAUUUCUGUCACGUGACACGUGCAUCGUGAGACGUGAGCAGCUCCCACCUGGAUGGUGGAGCAGCGUCGCUUUCGCUGCAAACGGAAGGUGACGCAGAAAGCACAUGCCACAGCAUAUUUUCGCAUGUUACGUCCUCAUCAAAGAAAGCUACAGGGCCGACUUGCAAGAUCAAAAAGGAUGAUUCCAAAUCCGAACAGUACACGGCCACGCCCCCUGACCACAGCCCUCCCAGCAUCCCUGCUCCUCAUCACCCGCUCAGAGCGGUGUGUGAUGCAGUGUUGGAGGAUGUCCUAAGUUUCCCAGAGUUCGAGUGUUUCUAUCAAGAACACAGCUGAGAUGAACGAAGGGUGACACAGAGGAGGAGGAUGAGAAGAAGGAGAUGAUCACCUAAACUAAGGUUUCGGGGCUGACGGAACCUCAGCUGCGUUACAGGGCACCGAGGAAAUACCAUAAAAAAAGGAAUGGUUCGCAUAGGUUGAGAAGGAGGGAGAGAGAGGGGUGGGGAAGCGUACCGUGUAAGACAUAAUAUUUAAUCUUACCAGGAUUGUUUUUCAAUUAAACUCUUUCUCUGAAAGCCCCAUUCUAGUUUUUGAUGAUGCAUGGAUUUCUGGGGCAAGAGAUUGAUUUGUGUUCAAGUAGUCACUGUCUCUUAAAGCUUUGCAAACCAUAGGCCAUAUUGGAGCACGAGCGCUGAGCGAAACCCCUUCGAUACAGUGCAAGACAAAAAGUUAGUUAACAAUAUCAUUACAUCUUUUCACACGGCAGACCGUUGACCUGCCCGGUGGGUAAUAUGCCACAGAAUUCUGACACUCCUUCCAGUACUGAAAUACAUCAUAAUAAUGACACUUCCAAAGGUUUGGACAGUUGCAGUUUUCAUUAUUAUGAUGUUUUUCAACAACUACGAAAACAUGGGACCGUGAUUUUACUCCAGUAACUGCAGGCUGAUAUCUUCAAGAAAUAUAUCUGGAUUUACUCUACAAAAAACAUAUCAAAUAAACCCACAUAUUUCUGUAUUCCCGUCUUUGCC